CAGAAUGUAGCUUAAUUAAAGUCCCUCGCUUACACCGAGCCCAUACCCGAUAACCACGGGUCAUCCUGA
RNAcentral lists this transfer RNA (69 nucleotides) under Oreolalax schmidti (webless toothed toad). RNAcentral describes it as "tRNA-Val". Lineage: Eukaryota; Metazoa; Chordata; Amphibia; Anura; Megophryidae. The record is from RNAcentral.